This 301-nucleotide ribosomal RNA is filed under the name uncultured bacterium. RNAcentral describes it as "partial 16S ribosomal RNA". It matches the Rfam family "Bacterial small subunit ribosomal RNA", at positions 509 to 807 of the family's 1533-position model. The record is from RNAcentral.
CAGCAGCCGCGGUAAUACCGAGGGUGCAAGCGUUAAUCGGAAUUACUGGGCGUAAAGCGCGCGUAGGUGGUUUGUUAAGUUGGAUGUGAAAGCCCCGGGCUCAACCUGGGAACUGCAUCCAAAACUGGCAAGCUAGAGUACGGUAGAGGGUGGUGGAAUUUCCUGUGUAGCGGUGAAAUGCGUAGAUAUAGGAAGGAACACCAGUGGCGAAGGCGACCACCUGGACUGAUACUGACACUGAGGUGCGAAAGCGUGGGGAGCAAACAGGAUUAGAUACCCCUGUAGUCCCUGUCUCUUAUAC